UAGUAUUUAAUGAAUAAACCUGGACAUAAAAAAUCCUAAACCCACAGUGACAAGGAUAAACAAUGGAACAGUAAACAGUAACAUAAUUUUGGUAAAAUGCUAUCAGGACAGCAAAGCUGUGGAAUUCCUGUGAAAUUGUUUUCCUUCUGCCCCUUUUUCUUAUGAUUUUCCUUGGUUGAAAAGGGAGGAGGAGAGAGCAGAUUGUAACAGUAGUUUCUAAAAUCACCUCUCUUCUUUCUGUGAAUACAGGUUCCUAAAAGCACAUUGAUCAUUUUCAACUUGGAAGCUUUUCUGUAAUAAAACUGUUUUGUAGUAGUAGACAAGUUUGGGGGUGUUUAUUGUGUUACUGUCUGUUGGAAGACCUGCAAAACCCUUUUCUAUCAUGCUGAGGGUCCAAGGUUCUGUCAUCCAAAGAUCCCCUUGCAUGUGCACCCUUCCACUCCCCAGCUCUGGCUCCAGGCACAGCUGUCCAGCUGUCCCUGCCCAGAGUGAUCAGAGACAUCAGCAGAUAUGAGUACUCUGAGAGAACAGGAAUACAGGAAAAAAGCGAUUGGGAUAAGUCAGGUGUUGACUUAAUCAUGAUCUUUUUAACAAGAAGCAGAAAUUUUCCUCUGCAAGCAGUCAUGAGGCAGUAGGUCCACUGCCAAAUGUCCCUUCUAAUUAUCUGAUUAAGAAAAUAAACAUGACUAUCUGACAUUCUAUAGCACAAGUGCCUCCGCAGUGAUGCGGUCCAAGGGCUGUCCAGGGAAGUAGUUGUGGGUUUUUCAGGUUAUCUCACUUCUGUCCUCACAAUGCAAAUGUUUAAAUAUUGCUGGUCUUUGCUGCAGACCCACUCCUUAGAAAUCAGGGGUGGAGUUUCUGGAACUGUUUAAACCUAAAUAACUGACCGUGCUGAAAGGAAGUGUUCCAGUGUUCCUCCCCUCUCAGCUUUGAAAUUUGUUCCUGCACCUCCCUUGUGCUGGCAUCGGAGCCAAAGCAGAGGCAGCCUGGGUGCUGAUGUGGGGUAACAUCCCAUGGGAGGUGAGAAGACAUCCUCCUCCUCCUCCUGGGCUUUGUGUCCUGCAGAGAGCUUGUCAGUGCAAUGGAGGCACGACCCUGGCCACCAGUAAGCCACCAGUAAGCACCAGUAAGCCCCACUGUGCUCCACAAUUUUAGGAUUGCGGGGAAGGAAAGGGAUAGAGUAAUAUUUGGUAAAAUCACUGGGGUAUAGAAAUCUAUUUGAGGGUGCAAAAUGUCGUGGUGUGCUGGUGUGGGAAGAGGUGAGAGCUGGGUUGGUGGAAGGGAGAAUAGGGAGAAAGGAACACAAACUCGGUGGAUAUUGUCCGGGCUUGGGAUCGUGCUUAGGGAUCCUUGUAGGGCUUAGUCAGUGGUGGAGCAUGUGCUGACAGCAGCAGCUCUAGCAGCACAGAAACAGCAGAAUUUGGUUAUGAUGCUCUCUGGGAGGUACCACACUUUCCUGUAGAAACCCCUGAAGCUAACAGGCUCUGGGCUCGAGAGAGAGAAACCACUCAAGCAAUCCAUCUGGAACUAAUGGGGUUUAUGCCUUUGAUAGGGCUGAGCUUUUUCAUACACCUUCUGUAGCCUUUGAGUCUGCUGAGACCUGAACCUUGCUAUAAUCAUUUCCACACAGGACAACAAAGGUUGCUAUUUAACCCAAAAUUUAGUCUGAUAUACCCUCCCUGGCAAAUAAGCUUGAAUAAUUACUGCAAAUUAUUUAAAAAAAAAAUCUGUCUUAAUUAUAUCUCAGAGGAUGAAAAUUUCCCACCUUGUCUGAGUGCAGAAAGAGCAGCUGGCAAAUGGAGGUUUCUCUCUGUCUUCUGUUAAUUAACGUUGGUGCCUCAUAAGGACUUACCUGAGUCAGGAAGGAGGCACCAGCCAUGCUCCUUCCCCAUCUCUGGGCAGACCCUGUGUGUCAGCUCUGGCUGCUGCCUCGGGAGGGUGGUGGUCCCAGCCUGAGGAACAGCAUCAGCGGGGACUGGUAGCUUCAGGUGGGUCUGAGUCCUGAUGGCUUGCAAAGAGACUGAAUUCCAAACAGCUGUGGAUGCCUGGACCCCUUGGGAGUUUCAUCCACCUCACCAGGCUUGAAACUGUGGGGACAGCUAUUAGGAAUCUGCCUGGACGUGACCAAAGGCAUUAGUCCACUCUACAUUAAAAAUCACUUCUGGGCCUGGGCUUGACUGCACAAAAAUAUAAAGUAGUCUGGAGAGUCUUUCAUCUCCACUACUAACAGAACAGCAAUCUCCUUACUAUUGCUGUGACAGAUGACUGUUGGAAAAUGAAACCUGUCUGUUUCAUGCAGGAAAAAAUGCCCAUGACUACCAUCAGCUGCCAUUUCCCCCAGUGUUUCCAAAAAAAAGGUAUUUCUGUCCUUGGGGUCUGCCACCACCUAUCUGUUCCUCUUGUUCAGUCUCUGAAUAUCUUAGUUGUUCCUUGCAAAUGUGCUGUGUCUGUGAUGGAGCGAGCUGCUGCUCUCCAAACACGACUGUGGAGAUUCAUCACUGGCCUGGUGAUUUUAUAAAACAUUUGCGUUCUCCAUACUUUAUUAGUCCCUGACAGACUCAAUGUUUAUAACAUACUUCUCAGCAAGCUGUUUGCAACUCAUUGCCCUGCUUGCUUUAUAGUCUAUAAAUAUUUAAUUCUUUAAUAAACUGCUUAUAUGUAAUAUCAAAUGACUGAUGUACUUCUCUCCCCUCUUCAACAGUGCUACUAUUUGCAAAACAAUUCUUUUGGUGUUUUGAAUAGCAAUACAUUCUAUACAUGCUUGAAUUUCCUUUUCCUAACUAGCAAUUUCUUCAGGGUAUUUGUUGAAUUGACAGAAAACACAAUGGCUCAUACAGUGCUCUGGGAGCAGCCCUUUCCUAAAGUCUCCAUGAGGAGACUCCCAAAUGGUCAAUUGACCAUUCCAAGUGGCGACAAUCUGAGUGUCUUGGACCCUGGGGGUGAUAUUUCUGGUUGUAUUUCCUAUUUGUGCAUGUCAGGAAGUGGCAGGAACCACUUGAGCAUGUUGGGCACUGUGCAGAGCGGGGUGCCAGAUGCUCCACAGGGGUGUCAUGGGUCAACUCACUGUGUGCUGCACCCCCACUUCUUCUGCCUCACCCACUAUGCUGCACGCUCAUUUUUGCAGCACAGAGCACAGUCCCCUUCCUGCUCCUCUUUGGCAGCACCUGUAGAAAGGGUGACUCUGACUGGGUUUGGUCCUACGCUUCCUUCCACCUUCCCUGGGGGUUUCUCUACCCGAGGAGCAGGCAGCAGGCCGCUGGACUCCCCUGUCCAGUCCCCAGCCUUUGGGCUCCUCUUGGAAUGCCAGAUCCUGUCUGACGUGCAACGGGAGCAGGAACCUUGAGCAGGAGAAGUGUCAGCCAAGUGAGACCAUGGCUAUAGCAUCGAUCUGCCCUGAAGCCUGCUCCAUGUCUGGGUCAAAAAACCCUCUGAGGCUGUCAGCCAGCCAUUGUUAGGGUGAUGGCCUGCACCUGGCUACACCAGGAUCUAUGGCAGAGUGGACAGGCCUUUGGAGCUGGCAGGGAGGGCUGUCCAUCAGCAGGGACACGGGAGGGGAUGGUGACACUGCACUACCAUGUUUGUGCCACCCAGCCUGUGUGUGAGUCCUUGUCUUACCCUGCAUCUUGGGGCAGGUUUCUGCUCAGGCUUUGCCCUUUAGUCUCUUCUCUAAGGCUCAUGGCAUGCCAAGGCACCAUUAAGGACUGGGCAUCCUGCCCUGCAAAAACCACGUGGGGAAAGCUUCAGCUCCUGGAAUGAUAAGGGUGUGGUGGGGGCAUAUCCUUUCUGUAGAGUUGCUUUCUCUUGGUUUUGGUUGUCCAUAUUCCCAGGCUCUGUUUGGUCUGGACACCUUGGUACUGAGCUGCUUUGAGGCUGGAGACCAGAAAGAUGAGGCAGAGCCAGGUGGCACCAUUGGGGUUGGCAUUCUGCAGUGUCCAGACCUGCAGUGUCACAGGGCUGGGGUCAGGAAGCCAUGGGCUGGGCAGUCAAUGGGGUGGAACUAGAUUUUCAUUAAGCACCCUUCCAACCCAAACUAUUCCAUGAUAUGAUUAUAUGAUCUGCUUAGAUCAUUCCAUCUGAUCAUGGCUGCUCUGUUCCUCACAGACAGCUUUGGGCUGCUCACUGGGUCUGGGCUGGUUUGACUGCAGAUUCCUUCCCACCAGGGUGGCAACA
Long non-coding RNA from Taeniopygia guttata (zebra finch), 4170 nucleotides. The record is from Ensembl. Lineage: Eukaryota; Metazoa; Chordata; Aves; Passeriformes; Estrildidae.